RNAcentral lists this ribosomal RNA (489 nucleotides) under uncultured bacterium. RNAcentral describes it as "SSU rRNA". It matches the Rfam family "Bacterial small subunit ribosomal RNA", at positions 26 to 524 of the family's 1533-position model. The record is from RNAcentral.
AGGAUGAACGCUGGCGGCGUGCCUAACACAUGCAAGUCGAACGCGCUCCAUUCGGUAGCAAUACUGAUGAAGAGCGAGUGGCGAACGGGUGAGUAACACAUGAACAACCUGCCCCGAAGACUGGGACAACACCGGGAAACCGGUGCUAAUACCGGAUAUCCCUAUCGGACCGCAUGAUCCGAUAAGGAAAGUUUUUCGCUUCGGGAGGGGCUCGUGGCCUAUCAGCUAGUUGGUGAGGUAACGGCCCACCAAGGCAUCGACGGGUAGCUGGUCUGAGAGGACGAUCAGCCACACUGGGACUGAGACACGGCCCAGACUCCUACGGGAGGCAGCAGUGGGGAAUCUUGCGCAAUGGGCGAAAGCCUGACGCAGCAACGCCGCGUGGAGGACGAAGGCUUUCUGAGUUGUAAACUCCUUUCAGCAGGGACGAUAGUGACGGUACCUGCAGAAGAAGCACCGGCCAACUACGUGCCAGCACGCCGCGGUAAU